UGAACAUUUUUAUUUUUUUUUCCUUUUUCUCUCCUUUCAAAUGCUUCGUGCCAUUCCUUGGAGGCACUAGAGCAUUGGAUUGUCCAAAUUUCUCCGGUUUUUCCUUUUGUUGUCGUUUUUUCUCUCUAUAUUGCGCUGCUAACUGUUUUGAUGGUGCAAUGCCACCGGGCAGGCAGCCAACUUAUCACAGCAUUAUAAUUCCACUGUACCACUCGUCCGUCGAUUGUUUGUUUUUUUUUUGACUCCCCUUGUAAAAUUUCUUGGCUUCAUUACGAAAUAGCUUUCGCCAGAUUACGUGGAAUUAAGAGAUGAACGAUUCCUGGUACUGCGUCCAAAAAUUUCGUCAUUAAAAACAAAUAAUUCAAACUGUCGUGCGGCGUAGUGACAAAAACAAAACAACAACAAGGGAGAGACGGAUUGCGAAGACUCUUAAUGUCCUUUUUUUUUCAUCAUCAUCCCAUGGGCAGGUGGUCAGAGCAGGUGAUGAGCCUUUUUUUUUCUGGAGCGAGGUUGUCGCCGAGAAUCAUCCCAGUUGUUUUUUCCAGGUCUUGUCAACCGACCAUCUGCCAGUCCAGACACAGGUGGGCCGCAAGUAAUGAUGGCCUCGUUUACGGCACGUUACGCAAAAAAAACAUUUUGUUCUCUACCAACCGAUUCCUGGACACAAUGCUCGCCAAGAUUUUUUUUUUCUUUCUUAUUUCUUUGCAGGUAUACCCGACUGUACCAAGAACUGUUUGGUUAUGUUUCCCAAUGUUUCCCAGGAACAUUGGCGAUAUAUACGUGCAGCCACCGUCAAAACCCAAGGUCCAGUAAACCCCCCCACUCGCUACCACCCAGCAAAAAUUACGUACACGCAGAAAACAAAAUAAAAUCCCCCCACCUUCUUUUCCUUGACAACUGUGCACCGAAAGGUGCGGACAUUGGACCGGGAUUAGGUGCCGAUAACCUCCCAAGGUCUCUCUCCUACCUGCCACUAUUACAACUUGGAAUAUGGAAGCCACUACGGCAGCCGCGUGCAUAUCCAAUACGGCCGUGAUACAAAAACAAAAACAAAAAAAAAUUUCAAAUCAAAUAACUAGACACAGGUUGGUAGUUUGUGUGUGGCUUUGACUUGACAUUCGUUUGAUGUACACACGCCCAUCAAUGUCCAAGAGAAUUGCGCCAGCAGCCUGACAAGGUCAAUACCAGGAAUCAUUCUCUUGGCGCGUGAACAGAUUAAGGCUCUCUUAUUUGAUUUCAUGGAAUUUCCUCGACCCCAGUUUCUCAUAUUCUUGUCAGUCACUUUUUCCUUCUUGUUGUCGUCAUUUCAAUUUUUACGAGCUUAAAUAAACCUGUCAGUGGAAAAUUAAAA
Long non-coding RNA from Daphnia pulex (common water flea), 1351 nucleotides. RefSeq lists it as uncharacterized. The record is from RefSeq and is a predicted model, not a curated record. The transcript is spliced from 2 exons. Lineage: Eukaryota; Metazoa; Arthropoda; Branchiopoda; Diplostraca; Daphniidae.